RNAcentral lists this ribosomal RNA (393 nucleotides) under Triticum aestivum (bread wheat). RNAcentral describes it as "partial small subunit ribosomal RNA". The record is from RNAcentral. Lineage: Eukaryota; Viridiplantae; Streptophyta; Magnoliopsida; Poales; Poaceae.
AUGAACACAUUGGUGCUACACAUGAAGCAAUCUCUGCAGCGGUAUGGUCAUAUUAUGAGUGCUGAUGACCAUUACACCAGAUGGCAACAGGCGAUGCCUUCCCACUUGCAGCAGGCCGUGCUGUUGUCACGCCACGACAUGGCGAGGCCGCCAUAUCGCGACAGCCCAGAAAGGAAACGGAGGAGGUUGCGCUUCUCCUGCUCGGUGCAUGCGGUGGCAGGAGAGGCCAAGAAGAGCAGCAGGAUCAGCUGCAGCACGACCGGAGGAAUGGUGAAUGAAUGCAUUGGUAAUUCUUUUCUGGCGACUAAUUUGGCCUCAAAUGCAGUCUGCAGAAGAAUAUUGUUGACAUGUUUCUCCAUUUUGAUUUCUGAACAUAGACAGUUUUGUUGCUAA